GACGAACGCUGGCGGCGUGCUUAACACAUGCAAGUCGAACGGAAAGGCCCAGCUUGCUGGGUACUCGAGUGGCGAACGGGUGAGUAACACGUGGGUGAUCUGCCCUGCACUCUGGGAUAAGCCUGGGAAACUGGGUCUAAUACCGGAUAUGAUCAACUGUCGCAUGGUGGUUGGUGGAAAGCUGUUGCGGUGUGGGAUGGGCCCGCGGCCUAUCAGCUUGUUGGUGGGGUAAUGGCCUACCAAGGCGACGACGGGUAGCCGACCUGAGAGGGGAAUCGGACACACUGGGACUGGGACACGGCCCAGACUCCGACGGGAGGCAGCAGUGGGGAAUAUUGCACAAUGGGCGCAAGCCUGAUGCAGCGGCGCCGCGUGAGGGAUGACGGCCUUCGGGUUGUAAACCUCUUUCACCAGGGACGAAGCGUGAGUGACGGUACCUGGAGAAGAAGCACCGGCCAACUACGUGCCAGCCGCCGCCGUAA
Molecule: ribosomal RNA, 482 nt
Filed under: uncultured bacterium
Lineage: Bacteria
Description: partial 16S ribosomal RNA
Rfam family: Bacterial small subunit ribosomal RNA
Source: RNAcentral